Molecule: ribosomal RNA, 385 nt
Filed under: uncultured bacterium
Lineage: Bacteria
Description: bacterial SSU rRNA
Rfam family: Bacterial small subunit ribosomal RNA
Source: RNAcentral
AUUGAACGCUGGCGGCAUGCUUUACACAUGCAAGUCGAACGGCAGCGCGGGGGCAACCCUGGCGGCGAGUGGCGAACGGGUGAGUAAUGCAUCGGAACGUAUCCUGUAAUGGGGGAUAACGUAGCGAAAGUUACGCUAAUACCGCAUACGCUCGAGAGAGGAAAGUGGGGAUCGCAAAGACCUCACGUUAUAGGAGCGGCCGAUGUCCGAUUAGCUAGUUGGUGGGUAAAGGCCUACCAAGGCGACGAUCGGUAGCUGGUCUGAGAGGAUGAUCAGCCACACUGGGACUGAGACACGGCCCAGACUCCUACGGGAGGCAGCAGUGGGGAAUUUGGACAAUGGGCGAAAGCCUGAUCCAGCCAUGCCGCGUGCGGGAAGAAGGCCU